RNAcentral lists this small nuclear RNA (106 nucleotides) under Catagonus wagneri (Chacoan peccary). Lineage: Eukaryota; Metazoa; Chordata; Mammalia; Artiodactyla; Tayassuidae. The record is from RNAcentral.
UUGCUAGCUUCAGCAGCACAUAUACUAAAACUGGAAGGAUAUGGAGAAGAUUAGCAUGGCCCUGCACGAGGAUGACACGCAAAUUUGUGAAGCGUUCCAUAUUUUU